Molecule: long non-coding RNA, 287 nt
Filed under: Malus domestica (apple)
Lineage: Eukaryota; Viridiplantae; Streptophyta; Magnoliopsida; Rosales; Rosaceae
Description: long non-coding RNA (MDOM_LNC018600)
Source: RNAcentral
ACGAUGUUGGUUAGCAAAAAUAAUGAUGAGAGAAUAACGCUUUAAUCAUUUACAACUCUUGUAAUUACCCAUCUAGUUUGGCCUCUAGAGAAUGAUUUCUCACAAUGAUAUGAUGUUGGCACCAUUGCAUUUAGUUAAGUUAUUCCCACCAUGCUAGUUUGUGUAGGGGUUCAAGAAUAGCCUCACAAUGAUAUGAUGUCGGCCAUCCUCAUUGCCUACCUCACCACAUCAUGUAUGUACAUAUGGACUCCUCAUGAAUGUAAGCACAUACUUUGAACUUCCCCAUG